GAUGAACGCUGGCGGCGUGCUUAACACAUGCAAGUCGAACGAUGAAGCCCAGCUUGCUGGGUGGAUUAGUGGCGAACGGGUGAGUAACACGUGAGUAACCUGCCCUUAACUCUGGGAUAAGCCUGGGAAACUGGGUCUAAUACCGGAUAGGAGCGUCCACCGCAUGGUGGGUGUUGGAAAGAUUUAUCGGUUUUGGAUGGACUCGCGGCCUAUCAGCUUGUUGGUGAGGUAAUGGCUCACCAAGGCGACGACGGGUAGCCGGCCUGAGAGGGUGACCGGCCACACUGGGACUGAGAGACGGCCCAGACUCCAACGGGAGGCAGCAGUGGGGAAUAUUGCACAAUGGGCGCAAGCCUGAUGCAGCGACGCCGCGUGAGGGAUGACGGCCUUCGGGUUGUAAACCUCUUUCAGUAGGGAAGAAGCGAAAGUGACGGUACCUGCAGAAGAAGCACCGGCUAACUACGUG
RNAcentral lists this ribosomal RNA (466 nucleotides) under uncultured bacterium. RNAcentral describes it as "partial 16S ribosomal RNA". It matches the Rfam family "Bacterial small subunit ribosomal RNA", at positions 28 to 507 of the family's 1533-position model. The record is from RNAcentral.